Molecule: ribosomal RNA, 497 nt
Filed under: uncultured bacterium
Lineage: Bacteria
Description: partial 16S ribosomal RNA
Rfam family: Bacterial small subunit ribosomal RNA
Source: RNAcentral
GAUGAACGCUGGCGGCGUGCCUAAUACAUGCAAGUCGAGCGAACAGACGAGGAGCUUGCUCCUCUGACGUUAGCGGCGGACGGGUGAGUAACACGUGGAUAACCUACCUAUAAGACUGGGAUAACUUCGGGAAACCGGAGCUAAUACCGGAUAAUAUAUUGAACCGCAUGGUUCAAUAGUGAAAGACGGUUUUGCUGUCACUUAUAGAUGGAUCCGCGCCGCAUUAGCUAGUUGGUAAGGUAACGGCUUACCAAGGCAACGAUGCGUAGCCGACCUGAGAGGGUGAUCGGCCACACUGGAGCUGAGACACGGUCCAGACUCCUGCGAGAGGCAGCAGUAGGGAAUCUUCCGCAGUGGGCGAAAGCCUGACGGAGCGACGCCGCGUGAGUGAUGAAGGUCUUCGGAUCGUGAAACUCUGUUAUGAGGGAAGAACAGAUGUGUAAGGAGCUAUGCACGUCUUGACGGUACCUAAUCAGAAAGCAACGGCUAACUACGUG